This 253-nucleotide ribosomal RNA is filed under the name uncultured bacterium. Its description in RNAcentral is "partial 16S ribosomal RNA". It matches the Rfam family "Bacterial small subunit ribosomal RNA", at positions 524 to 776 of the family's 1533-position model. The record is from RNAcentral.
UACGAGAGGUGCAAGCGUUGUUCGGAAUUAUUGGGCGUAAAGCGCACGUAGGCGGGUUUGUAUGUCGGUUGUGAAAUCCCAGGGCUCAACCCUGGAAUUGCAGCCGAAACUGCAAAUCUUGAAUACUUGAUAGGGUGGGAGAAUUCCUGGUGGAGCAGUGAAAUGCGUAGAGAUCAGGAGGAAUACCGGAGGCGAAGGCGCCUGCCUGGCAAGAUAUUGACGCUGAGGUGCGAAAGCAUGGGGAGCAAACAGG